ACUGGGCAGUGAGGGACAUUGACAGUGAUGGGAACUCCGAUCAGUGAUUUACGGAAGGGUUUAAUGCUUCCUGAAAUAUCCGCGUGAGAGAAUUACCCUCAGACCCACGGUUUGUAUCACUUUGUUCAUCAAUUUGUUUGUUUGUGUUUAGACUUGGGGUGAAUGACCUGGGAGAUUCAGGAGUGAAACUGGUGUCUGCGGCUCUGGGGAACACGGAGUGUAAAAUACAGAAACUGCGGCUGUGGAGAGUCGGUCUCACAGAUUCUGGGGCCGAGGAUCUCGCCUCCGCUCUCAGUACAAACCCAUCACUGACGGAGCUGUACCUGAGUGAUAAUAAACUGGGAGAUUCAGGAGUGAAACUGGUGUCUGCGGCUCUGAGGAACCCGGAGUGUAAAAUACAGACACUGUGGCUGGAGAGAGUCGGUCUCACAGAUUCUGGGGCCGAGGAUCUCGUCUCCGCUCUCAGUACAAACCCAUCACUGACGGGGCUGAGCCUGGGAUGGAACUCUCUGACAGACCGAUCUGUCCCCGCUCUCCGCCGCCUCAUACAGACCCUCCUGAGUCUGAAGUGGAUCAUGCUGGGGUGGAAUCAGUUCAGUGAGACCGGGGAGAAGGAACUGAGAUCUCUACAGGAACCCAGACCCGGACUGAGAGUGUAUCUGUGAACAUCUGAAUGUGGUGAAUCGGUUCAGUGAGACCGGGAUGAAGGAACUGAGAUCUCUACAGGAACCCAGACCCGGACUGAUGGUGGAUCUGUGAACAUCUGAAUGUGGUGAAUCGGUUCAGUGAGACCGGGAUGAAGGAACUGAGAUCUCUACAGGAACCCAGACCCGGACUGAUGGUGGAUCUGUGAACAUCUGAAUGUGGGGAAUCGGUUCAGUGAGACCGGGAUGAAGGAACUGAGAUCUCUACAGGAACCCAGACCCGGACUGAGAGUGGAUCUGUGAACAUCUGAAUGUGGUGAAUCGGUUCAGUGAGACCGGGAUGAAGGAACUGAGAUCUCUACAGGAACCCAGACCCGGACUGAUGGUGGAUCUGUGAACAUCUGAAUGUGGUGAAUCGGUUCAGUGAGACCGGGAUGAAGGAACUGAGAUCUCUACAGGAACCCAGACCCGGACUGAUGGUGGAUCUGUGAACAUCUGAAUGUGGUGAAUCGGUUCAGUGAGACCGGGAUGAAGGAACUGAGAUCUCUACAGGAACCCAGACCCGGACUGAUGGUGGAUCUGUGAACAUCUGAAUGUGGUGAAUCGGUUCAGUGAGACCGGGGGAAGGAACUGAGAUCUCUACAGGAACCCAGACCCGGACUGAUGGUGGAUCUGUGAACAUCUGAAUGUGGUGAAUCGGUUCAGUGAGACCGGGAUGAAGGAACUGAGAUCUCUACAGGAACCCAGACCCGGACUGAGAGUGGAUCUGUGAACAUCUGAAUGUGGUGAAUCGGUUCAGUGAGACCGGGAUGAAGGAACUGAGAUCUCUACAGGAACCCAGACCCGGACUGAUGGUGGAUCUGUGAACAUCUGAAUGUGGUGAAUCGGUUCAGUGAGACCGGGAUGAAGGAACUGAGAUCUCUACAGGAACCCAGACCCGGACUGAUGGUGGAUCUGUGAACAUCUGAAUGUGGGGAAUCGGUUCAGUGAGACCGGGAUGAAGGAACUGAGAUCUCUACAGGAACCCAGACCCGGACUGAGAGUGGAUCUGUGAACAUCUGAAUGUGGUGAAUCGGUUCAGUGAGACCGGGAUGAAGGAACUGAGAUCUCUGCAGGAACCCAGACCCGGACUGAUGGUGGAUCUGUGAACAUCUGAAUGUGGUGAAUCGGUUCAGUGAGACCGGGAUGAAGGAACUGAGAUCUCUACAGGAACCCAGACCCGGACUGAUGGUGGAUCUGUGAACAUCUGAAUGUGGUGAAUCGGUUCAGUGAGACCGGGAUGAAGGAACUGAGAUCUCUACAGGGACCCAGACCCGGACUGAGAGUGGAUCUGUGAACAUCUGAAUGUGGUGAAUCGGUUCAGUGAGACCGGGAUGAAGGAACUGAGAUCUCUACAGGAACCCAGACCCGGACUGAUGGUGGAUCUGUGAACAUCUGAAUGUGGUGAAUCGGUUCAGUGAGACCGGGAUGAAGGAACUGAGAUCUCUACAGGAACCCAGACCCGGACUGAGAGUGGAUCUGUGAACAUCUGAAUGUGGGGAAUCGGUUCAGUGAGACCGGGAUGAAGGAACUGAGAUCUCUACAGGAACCCAGACCCGGACUGAUGGUGGAUCUGUGAACAUCUGAAUGUGGGGAAUCGGUUCAGUGAGACCGGGAUGAAGGAACUGAGAUCUCUACAGGAACCCAGACCCGGACUGAGAGUGGAUCUGUGAACAUCUGAAUGUGGUGAAUCGGUUCAGUGAGACCGGGAUGAAGGAACUGAGAUCUCUACAGGAACCCAGACCCGGACUGAUGGUGGAUCUGUGAACAUCUGAAUGUGGUGAAUCGGUUCAGUGAGACCGGGAUGAAGGAACUGAGAUCUCUACAGGAACCCAGACCCGGACUGAUGGUGGAUCUGUGAACAUCUGAAUGUGGUGAAUCGGUUCAGUGAGACCGGGAUGAAGGAACUGAGAUCUCUACAGGAACCCAGACCCGGACUGAUGGUGGAUCUGUGAACAUCUGAAUGUGGUGAAUCGGUUCAGUGAGACUGGGAUGAAGGAACUGAGAUCUCUACAGGAACCCAGACCCGGACUGAUGGUGGAUCUGUGAACAUCUGAAUGUGGUGAAUCGGUUCAGUGAGACCGGGAUGAAGGAACUGAGAUCUCUACAGGAACCCAGACCCGGACUGAUGGUGUGGAUCUGAAUGUGUCAACAUCCCCGCCCGGGGGAUGGAGCCGAUUCCCCCCUCCCCUUUAACACUCCGCCCUCCCCUUUAACUACCCCUCCCCCACCCCUUGAACUCCCCCUCCCCCUCCCCUUUAACUCCCGCCCUUACCUUUAAUGGCCGCGCGCCGGGGCUGAUUCCCAACGGUUUUAACGGAACCGGCUCCGGUCUCGAGCUCGGUGAUCUCGGAAGCGCUCCCGCCGUGACGUAUUUCCGCCCGCUGUCCGGCGGCGCCACUUCCGCCGGAUGUGCGGGUCCGAGACUCUCCCGCGUGCCACCCCGGGGAAUUCCCCGGACGGGAGGAGCCCGGGGGGCCGGGGCUCAGUCUGGGACACCGGUGUCCCGGGAGAGAAUCCUUUUGCCCCCUCUGCUGAGGACGGGGCAUUCGGCUGUCUGGCCGAUAUAAUGAUGUUAAAUUGACAAAUACCUCGGUAAUGACCCUGGAUCCGCAGCGGUCCCGGACACGGCCCCGGAGUGUGAUUGGAUGCAGAGUGACGGUGAGGAACGGGACUGAUUAAUCUACCGGUCACCCGUUGUCGCCGGUCAGUUAAUUGUGAGUGACUGUGAGCGAGGACGGGGCAUUCGGCUGUCUGGCCGAUAUAAUGGUGUUAAAUUGACAAAUACCUCGGUAAUGACCUUGGAUCCGCAGCGAUCCCGGACACGGCCCUGGAGUGUGAUUGGAUGCAGAGUGACGGGGAGGAACGGGACUGAUUAAUCUACCGGUCACCCGUUGUCGCCGGUUAGUUAAUUGUGAGUGACUGUGAGUGAGUCGGGAACAGUGUGGCGACCCACUUUCUGCGCAGGCGCACCGGCUCACAAAUACCCAGGGAUUAAAUGCCAGCACCAGGAAGUUUGAAUAAACUAGUCUGGAACAGAUUUACCGACUGCGUGUCGUUGUCUCUAACUCUGUAUGUAGUACAUCGCUGCAACAGCUUAUUUACUCCCGCAAGACAGCAGCUCACAUACUGUUUAAUUUGCAUUUAUCAUGAUGAAAUCAAUAAACCGCUGUAACUUCCUGCCUUGGUGUCGGACUUGAGUUUGUUUGAGGUUUCUGCUGCCCCCCCCCCCCCCCCCACCUUGUGCACCGCAACAGUGGGUCGGAGCUCCUCACACUGACACAGUAGCGUCUCAGCUCAAGGCUGAGGGAGGUCAGACUGGCAGAGUCUGGGUGCCCAGGUUCUAGUCUAAAAUUAACCCCGUUCAUGGCUAACUAUACCCCUCCUGUACCACCCAGACAGUUAUUAUCCUCCAGAAUAUCAGACGUGAGUCACUGAGGUCCCGAAUACCAGACGGAUGGAGAAUGGAAUACCGGCGUGAAACACAGAGUGAAUCUCCCUCCACACCGUCCCAUCACCCACUCCCGGGGUCAGACACAGAGUGAAUCUCCCUCCACACCGUCCCAUCACCCACUCCCGGGGUCAGACACAGAGUGAAUCUCCCUCCACACCGUCCCAUCACACACUCCCGUGGUCAGACACAGUGUGAAUCUCCCUCCACACCGUCCCAUCACACACUCCCGGGGUCAGGCACAGAGUGAAUCUCCCUCCACACCGUCCCAUCCCACACUCCCGGGACCAGACACCGAGUGAAUCUCCCUCCACACCGUCCCAUCACACACUCCCGGGGUCAGACACAGAGUGAUUCUCCCUCCACACCGUCCCAUCACACACUCCCGGGGUCAGACACAGAGUGAAUCUCCCUCCACACCGUCCCAUCACCCACUCCCGGGGUCAGACACAGAGUGAAUCUCCCUCCACACCGUCCCAUCACACACUCCCGUGGUCAGACACAGUGUGAAUCUCCCUCCACACCGUCCCAUCACACACUCCCGGGGUCAGGCACAGAGUGAAUCUCCCUCCACACCGUCCCAUCCCACACUCCCGGGACCAGACACCGAGUGAAUCUCCCUCCACACCGUCCCAUCACACACUCACGGGGUCAGACACAGAGUGAAUCUCCCUCCACACCGUCCCAUCACACACUCCCGGGGUCAGACACAGAGUGAAUCUCCCUCCACACCGUCCCAUCACACACUCACGGGGUCAGACACAGAGGGAAUCUCCCUGCACACCGUCCCAUCACACACUCCCGGGACCAGACACAGAGUGAAUCUCCCUCCACACCGUCCCAUCACACACUCACGGGGUCAGACACAGAGGGAAUCUCCCUCCACACCGUCCCAUCACACACUCCCGGGGUCAGACACAGAGUGAAUCUCCCUCCACACCGUCCCAUCACACACUCCCGGGGUCAGACACAGAGUGAAUCUCCCUCCACACUGUCCCAUCACACACUCCCGGGGUCAGACACAGGGGGAAUCUCCCUCCACUCCGUCCCAUCACACACUCCUGGGGUCAGACACAGAGUGAAUCUCCCUCCACUCCGUCCCAUCACACACUCCUGGGGUCAGAAACAGAGGGAAUCUCCCUCCACUCCGUCCCAUCACACACUCCCGGGGUCAGACACAGAGGGAAUCUCCCUCCACUCCGUCCCAUCACACACUCCCGGGGUCAGACACAGAGUGAAUCUCCCUCCACUCCGUCCCAUCACACACUCCCGGGGUCAGACACAGAGGGAAUCUCCCUCCACACCGUCCCCUCACACACUCCCGGGGUCAGACACAGGGGGAAUCUCCCUCCACACCGUCCCCUCACACACUCCCGGGGUCAGAAUGUGACUGACGUCAUAAUCAGAAUAAUUACCUCAGUGGAAUUGCUCUCUGUUGCUUAUAACUCUGUAAAACCGAUCACCGGUCAAUAUGAGCAGUUGGAGCGUUCCGGACAACUGAACGCUGCUUGUGACGGAAUAUAGAAUAGGCAGCGAUUUACUACAACCCGAGCAUUUUCUAUCCUGCAAUUGUAGCGAUCGGUGUCCCUGGUUAGAUACUGGAGUUGCUCACUAAAUAUCGGGUGCCGUCGUCCUGCUUUUUGUUUCGCUGCGCUGUUCGGAAUUUUAUCAGCACGAAUGCUACCCUCAGUUUCGGUGUCCUUAUUUUUCCGAUACGGUGAUUUUUUUUCUCUUUUGUCAAAUACGUUGUUGCCGAUAUGGCCAUAGCUUCAUAGACUGAUCUUGCUCGGCUUUCUGAAGCGACAGUGGUCGCUUUUUCCAGGUCGGCAGCUUUUUUCAAAUGACCUUCCAGUCGAAAAUCGACACGCAGGUCAGUUCUUGCAUUAGCACUAAAUUGUAACUUGUGCUUUGGACCUCAUUAAUUUCACUUCAAUUUAACCCUUCCGCUGUUUCAUCUCUGAUAAUUGAAAUGGUGUUAAUUAUGAAGCGAUCUACCGUUCAGCGGUACGUGCUUCGUGGUAAUCAGAUGCCCCGCACCAAACUGUCGGAAGGUCGGCAACUCCGGUACGUUGCUGUCCCUCCAGCCGGGGUGCACCGAUGAAGCCGGGACAUUAUGGAUUUCCGUUUUUAAUUAUUUCCAAAAAGAAACUCUGCCCUGCUAUAUCGAGAGAUACCGGCCACAUGACAGAUGCACUGCCACCUGGCUUUUCGGAGGACACACCACAUGCCAAUCAACAUUUGGUGCACUGCCACCUGGCUGUUCGGAGGACACUCCACAUGCCAAUCAACAUUUGGUGCACUGUCACCUGGCGGGUCGGAGAACACACCACAUGCCAAUCAACAUUUGGUGCACUGCCACCUGGCUGGUCGGAGGACACACCACAUGCCAAUCACCAUUUGGUGCACUGCCACCUGGCGGGUCGGAGGACACACCACAUGCCAAUCAACAUUUGGGGCACUGCCACCUGGCUGUUCGGAGGACACACCACAUGCCAAUCAACAUUUGGUGCACUGCCACCUGGCUGUUCGGAGGACACACCACAUGCCCAUCAACAUUUGGUGCACUUCCACCUGGCGGGUCGGAGGACACACCACAUGCCAAUCAACAUUUAGUGCACUGCCACCUGGCUGUUCG
Long non-coding RNA from Hypanus sabinus (Atlantic stingray), 6769 nucleotides. RefSeq lists it as uncharacterized. The transcript has 4 exons. Lineage: Eukaryota; Metazoa; Chordata; Chondrichthyes; Myliobatiformes; Dasyatidae. The record is from RefSeq and is a predicted model, not a curated record.